This is a long non-coding RNA of Dermacentor silvarum, 789 nucleotides long. RefSeq lists it as uncharacterized. Lineage: Eukaryota; Metazoa; Arthropoda; Arachnida; Ixodida; Ixodidae. The record is from RefSeq and is a predicted model, not a curated record. The transcript has 3 exons.
UGAGCAAGCCAAUGAGCCACAUAUGUCUCAUUGCACAAUCAAUGAUUCAGGCCUAACAAUGCUGCAACAAGUACCAGCUUCAACUUUAUCACAAGAUGCUGAUACUGCAGAUGACAUAUUUCGUGAGUGAUCUUUGUUUGCACAGUUGCAAAGGGCCUGAGCAUUUUAAGAACACGAUUUAAAUGACUGACAAUACCUCACCGCAGACCCACCCUCCAUGCCAUCACCUGAGGUAGGCAGGGCCCCAGCCUCAGCUGAAACUGGUCCUACUGUUGGAGCUGCAGUGGAUGGCACAUCCUAUGUGAAGUUCUCUGAGGCUGGUGUUCAAGCCACCACUUCGGCGGCUGAAGCUUCAGUGAACACAACGUCAUGUAAGUACAGUGGCACAUAUCUCAUAGCAGCCUGCACCUGAAUAUGACACGCGUAGUAAUGUAUUGUCUGUAUGUUUCUUCCAGUGCUAAAGGACGCUGAAACACAAACAGAUAUCACAAGCAGUGCUUUAAACAGCUUCGGAGACGACAACUAGGCCCUACGUGCAGAGCUAAACGAAGUGAAGGGAUCUUUGCAUAGACUUCAGUUGUCUAAAGCUUCAUUGGAGGAAGACGACAGCCGUGUAAAAUUUUACACUGGCCUACCAAGAUACACAGUUUUGAUCGCGCUGUUCGCGCUUCUCGAGAAUGGUGUAUCGCAUAGCGCAAAAAAUGUGCUUAGAAAGUUCCAAGAACUUCUGCUCACGCUUGUGAGGCUGCGACUAGUAGUGCCCUUGCAAGACCUGGCGUAUAGAUUUGA